GAGAGAGAAAGAUUAAUUGAGAAAGAAGGAGAAAGGCGGAGAGAGAAAUGAGUAUAACUCAAUUAUCAUCAUCACUCCCAUUAGCUUAUGGUUGCCGCUAUUGUGCGCCUUCUCUUGUACUCUACUCCAAUCUCCCCUCCUCUCUCCGCCACCGCCGCCGUCUUCCCACUGCCCUACCUCCGACCACUUCUUCCGUUCCUAAAACAACCACCACUAUCAUUUCCUUCUUACCUCGAUUUCUAGACCCUCAUUUCGUCACGGGUAAUUGUCUUCUUUCCAGGAUGGAGAGGUUCUGGACUGGAAGUGGGAUAGGUACAAACAAAGAAAUGGUGGAGAAGCUCCACAACUUUGGAGUGAUUAGGUCAAAGAAGGUUUCUGAAGUAAUGGAGAGCAUUGAUAGGGCCUUCUUUGUGCCGGAUGAUAUUCCACCUUAUGUUGAUACUCCUGUGCCAAUAGGCUAUAAUGCCACUAUAUCUGCUCCUCACAUGCAUGCUACUUGCCUUCAGUUAUUGGAGAAACACUUGCAACCUGGAAUGCGGGCUUUGGACGUUGGCUCAGGAACGGGAUAUUUGACUGCAUGCUUUGCGUUAAUGGUUGGACCUGAAGGUCGUGCAGUUGGUGUAGAACAUAUUCCUGAGCUGGUUGCUUCCUCAAUGGAGAAUAUUAAGA
RNAcentral lists this unclassified non-coding RNA (669 nucleotides) under Hevea brasiliensis (rubber tree). Lineage: Eukaryota; Viridiplantae; Streptophyta; Magnoliopsida; Malpighiales; Euphorbiaceae. The record is from RNAcentral.